This 416-nucleotide unclassified non-coding RNA is filed under the name Hevea brasiliensis (rubber tree). Lineage: Eukaryota; Viridiplantae; Streptophyta; Magnoliopsida; Malpighiales; Euphorbiaceae. The record is from RNAcentral.
UCUCUCUCUCUCACACACACACAAUUGAUUUUAUCAAAUUGUGUUUUAGGAAAAGGAAAAUGCUUUAACUGCAUAUGCGGCAAUAUAAUUGCGAGUUAUUAUUAUCCAGCAUGGCUAAACUCUCAAUAUAUUAGACUUUGGUGACCAGAAGUCAUCGUCUAUUGGAGUUGGUGGGGAUAUAUUUUUGCUUCUAAUUUUACAAGCUUUGAAAUUGUGCAUUUUCAGGUCUCUAGUAGCAGUUGUGUUCCCCUCCUUGUGCAUUGCCUGAGCAUCAAUUUCAAUUUUUUAAGGGCUUUGAUCGACUAUCAUUGUACUAGUUAUUAUGAUAACUUAUGUUGCCUUGUGAUUAGUUUAUAAUGGUAUAUCUUUUGUUGCUUGUAUCAUGGAAGGGAUCAGAAUGGAAGGAGAAAGCAGAA